GUGGAAAGGAACAGCUUAGUGGAGCUAUGAGAUGCAUUGGGAGAGCUUUUAGUUUCAGCAUGACUGGACAUUGGGGUGUGAAUGGUGAGGAGCUGGAGGGGAGAGGAAGCUCUAGAAGGAAGCUAGAUCUGAAAGUCUGCAAGAAGGAAUUUGUAUUUUACCCUCCAGAUGAUGAACAGUUAAUGAGGGAUUUCAAGCAAGGAAUAACCUAGGCAGAUAUGUACUUAAUGAGAGCAUUUUGACAGUACCAUUAAGGAUAAAGUGGAAUGAGGAGACUGAGACAAGGAAAUCUGUUAGUAACACAAGAGAUGAGGUGAGGGUUUGAAUUUCAACAGUGACAAUAGUGUUUGAGGCAAAAAUAUCAAACUGGUCAGUACUAAUGACCUAGCAUUAGCAAUGUAGGGAAAAUUGGAUAGUAAUGGAUGGUGGUUCUAGUCACCAAGAAAAUAAAUAUAAGAAAAUGGGCAGGUAUUAAGAAGAGAAGUGGUGGAUUUUGAUUUUGACACAUGGCUUUCGAGGAGCUUGAGAUGACUAUAGAAUAUAGAUGUGUGGUAGGUAGUUGGUUUUGAAUGGGAUAGAAUUUUAAAUGAGAAAUGGAAAUAUGGGAGCCAGUAGCUGAAGCCAUGAGUUGAAUGUUGAGAUUGUCUAGGGGACCAUUUUUAUGUGACAACAAGGGGAAAGUGAGAUGGGGAGAGUGGGGCAGGAAAACUUAAUGUUUACAUAGAUGGACAUUUUAUAGUUCAAAGGUAUUUAAAAUACAUUAUCUUUUUUUGAUGCCCAUAACCAUAUUAUGAAGAAGGCAUUAUUAUGCUCACCUUUUUCCUUUUAUUAUGAGGACUGAAGCUUGGGGAAAUUAUGGGACUUCCAUAAAUAGCAAGGAAUAGAUCCUAGUCACAAACCAAUGUCUUCUGAUUACAAGUUUAGUAUUCAUUUCAUUAUAUCAGAACUGCAUUGUGACCACACAUAGCUAAUUUCAUCUAAUAUCUCAUACAUGUGUUAUACUCGUGACAUGGUUGGAAAAUAAUCUCUCCUUCGAUGCUCUCAUUGAGACCAAAGGGAAAUUUUCUGAAGUUAGUAUUAUGAUAGGUAGGAAAUAACAGCUGAGUUUCAGUGGGGGCAGUAACACUGCCUGAAGUAAUUUUGAGUUGGUAUUUUCAACUGAUGUAGUCAGAACUGAAUCAGUUCACAUUUAAGAUGGUAGAAAAUACAGUAUUAGCCAUAUUGUGGUUUGCUUUGCUAAUGAUUUAGCUUCUGCUUAAGUCCCAUUUGUUGUGGAAAGAUAGAUAUUUUAAAAAUUGACUUAGGUAAAGAAGGAAACGCAAAUUAAAAUACCACCAUCUUACUUAAUAUGCAUACAAUCUUACUGAAUCAGAAUGUUCUAUCUUGAGGGAAGUAUCUGACAACCUGUCACGUUCACAAAGGGUAGGUAAAUGGGUAGAAAAAUGUGUAGUAAAAUCUAGCUUGCCCUUACAAAGGGCUGAAAAAUAUUGGGUGAUGUUUCCCUAUCUUCCCACCAACAAAGUAGGCAAUCUCUGCUAUAAACGCAUCUGGAAAAUAAGUGUCUUAAUAAGGAGAAACAUUAGUGAGAAUUAGCAUAGGGCUAAUGGCCUAGAAUGCAUACUUGCCAAUUUUGUAUUUUUCAGCUACGUUUUUAGAAAGACAUUUUAAAAUUAUUUAUGCUGUUUUCUGGAGAUUUCUGUGGGUUGAAAGAGAGUCACCAAUUUAUUCUGCUGCGUUUUUGACCAUGUGGCAUUUAAUAUGCAAAACGAUAGUGUUCUAAUGUUGGUGAGGGCAAAGUAGAAUAUAAUUAUAAAAGACAAGAAAAUGGCUCUCUUCUAAAUAUGGCUAUUGCCUAAGUACAGUUGGCUGAUCAUAAAAUGUGCAAUUCAAACUUUCAUAUCGAUAUUUUUGAUUGACGGUACCCUUGGGUUAGUGGAGUGAGCUUCAUUUAUUAAGAAGUCAUAGAAAGUCAGGUUGAUUGUCUGGGCAGGUGGACACUUGCUUGAAGGAUAAUGCUAAAAAGGCAAGAGAAUAGAAAAGCUAGUCCCUAUGAUGACUGUAGACCACUACAGUUGCCUACCUGAUAGACACAGGGUAGCAAAAAAUCAGAACAGACCUCACUGUAGAUUCUAUCAGGUUUUAAAUAUUUUUGCUUUAAUCUUUCCAGCAUUCAUCUUUUUCAUUCACCAAAUACAAGAAAAUGGUGUGUAAACAAUGUCUUCCAUGGAAGAAAAUGUGGCUGAUUGUGCAAUAUAAGAAACACUAUUUGUAAUCCCCUCCAUUUUCCCUACUGCUUAUAUCUUCGUGAGCACAGGCAAGGAUUUGUGUAUUAAAACUGACUCGAGUGAUAAAAUGUUUGUUUAUUCAAUUUCAGAAAGAAUGUUUAUUUUUCUGUGGCUAUAGGGCCAAAGAUUAUGCUAAUAUGUUCCAUAUAUAUAUAUAUAAAGACAGGCUACCAUUAAGGCAAUCUCUAGAUGCUCAGUUCUCUCUGUCACAUAAGAAGGCUGAGCAAGGGCUUGUGCAAUAUUUUGCAGUCAUAUUUACUGCCAUAUGGCCAUUUCCAAAUUACAUUGUGUUGUAAGUUGAGAUUGUCUGAAGGAGUUUGGCUAACUUCCAUCUUGGGAAUACCUUUCACAGAGGCUGAUGCUAAUGGGAAUGUGAUUGUCUGGUAAUGUAACAGCGUUAAUAUUGUUUUUAUUGAGUUAGCUGGACUACUAGCUAUUGUAUGCUGGAGAAAAUACAGUUUAUGGUACAAUGAUCUAAUGUUGAUAGCUUGCCAGACAUCUCUCUUGCUAAGCAUGUAAUUCAUCUAAGUAACCCCGGCUGUGUGAUUUUUUUUUUUUUUCCUGUGGUCUGAACCACUUCUUAGCAAAGGUCUCAAAAAUUGACAUUAAAAUAAGCAGGGAGAUAAAAAUGUUUAUCUUAUUCUAUAGCCACAUUUUAUAUAUUUUAUAGUUACUAUUUUUAUGUGUGUUCACAAAACAAAGCUAGUGUGCAAAUUAAAAAUGUAAAUUCAUCUAAGAAUGUUAGUUUCUAUUCAGAAUGUUCAUUUCUGAAUCAGAAACUCUAAGGACAGGCCAAGAAUUACAUGUUUUAACAAGAUUUCUACAGGAUUUUCAUACUCAUUCAAGUUUGAAAACCAUUGCUUUAGACCUCUACUUUUUAAUGGUUAUUGAAAUACAACAAAAGAUGAAAUAUAAUAACUUUGGAAUUAUAAACAUGUCAUCUUACUUGAUACUUCCAUAGAAGACUCUAAGAUGAGAUCUCAAAGUCAUCUACAUAAACCAAUUAAAAUAUACCUCACAUAGUGUUGAAAUUGAUGGUUACUUUCAUACCUAUUUAACAAAUGGAGAGAACAAGGAUUUUUUAAAACUUAUUUCCUCAGGGGCAUAAAGUGAGCUUAUUAUAAGAAAGAAAUGUCUGAUUUUAACCAGUCAUCCUGUACUCUACUAUGUCCCAAUGAUUAAGACUAACAACAAUAACAACACAAAACAAAACAGAAUUCCUCAUACACUGGCAUUUUUAUCACACUUUUAUGUCCCAGCGUAUGAAGUUAGACCCGAAAGAAAUAGUUUUUGGAAUAUGAAUAUUUAUAGAAAGUAUUAAUUACCAAGUAAACUCCUUGAUAUAUGAAAACGAAAAUAUACUCUUUGUUUUUCCUUUUACACUCCCUAAAAGGAGUGUAAUCUUAUGUUUCAUGUGAUCACCAGCCCUAGAGAUUGGAAAUGACCGUGAUGGGAGACUGCUGCUCUAAAUUAAACAAAGUAAAAUGGAGUGACCCUCUGGAGAUACCUCGUCUGUACUUUGCUGAUAAUGUUGCAUAGCUAAAUAUGGCUUUCAAAAGGAUAAAUGAGUGUCAUCUCUUUUCUCUUCUCUAUGUAAUCAUGCUGUUGAUAUUUUCUAGUAUUUAAGUUUCUUUGCUAGUCAGAAGGCAGUACCAUAUGUGAUAAGUCACACCCAUAGCAAUUUUUUAAUCAAUGUAGUUUGUGAAUACUAAGUGUGGAAGAGAAAAUAACUGGGGGUCUUACCUUCCUGCCAGAGCCAGCAGUGUUAAGUUUCAUGAUAUUAAAAAAAAAAUAAAAAUGGAAUUGUCAGGGCUGUAAGUCAGCAGCCGAAGCAGGAAUGACUGCAACUUAGGGACUAUAAAUUUUGGAGUGUGAAUGUGACUUACCAUACAUGAAUUUUUUAAAAAAAUUAAAAUAUUUAAAGUAUCCAGCCUGGAUACAGUUUAUCCUGAGCUACUGAAAAUUUAUUUUCAAUGUAUUUUGGCUACUUCUGAAGUAACCUGAGAUGUAAGAUAGAAGCCAGAACUAGUGCAAGUGUAAGCAAAUGUGUAAAGCCAGCAUGAUCAUUUAUGUCUGACCCAAUAUUUUCUAUUCAAUUUAGCUAUGUGUUUUUCUUCAACAUUUUCACUAACUCUUAAAAUUCAUUCAUAGCUAGCACCUAUUUCAAAAGUGGCUACUCCCUAGCUGAAGGAACAGGCAAGUUCAAGCUUUCUUAUUUUUUGAAUGUCACACAUAUAAGAAAAAUAAAGAAUGACUUUUGCAAAUGUAUGCCACAAAAUUACUAGCAAUUCCCUCAAAUAUACAAAAUCUAUAGAAGUAUAAUACUGGCAACUGAAAUUCCAUCUUCAUUUAAUAACUGGAUUUUGUAACUGAAAAUCAAGGAACCAAUUAUGUCACUGGUUUCAGAGCAAUUGCCCCAAAAGGUGAGUACUGGAUGCUUCAAAACUUUCAGGGGGAAAAUAAAUGAAUCAAGUGAUUAUUAUUUAGUGUUUAUCACACAGAGUUUGCGAGUAGCCGUGUUAGCUGAGUAUUAGCCAUAAUCCAUCUCUUGCUAUAGGGAAUGGAAAUGUAUAGAGUAUUUUAUAAAUCAAAAAUUUUAUUUCUAUUUAGAGCUUUCUAGCUGUUAUAUCUUCUCUAAGACUCUUUCCACUUCUGAAAAUCUUGUAAUUACAGCUGGACCUCAGGAAAACAUGAAGUCACUUGAGGGAAGGUACAGAUGGUUACUAUCACAGGAACAUUUGACAUCUUGCCUUUAGUUGAAUAAACCGGACACAAACCCAUAAUUGAGGAAGCAGAGUACAUUAGGAAGGACAAACAGAAGAGAUCCAGCAUAUAACACCAUGGGAAGAGAAAGGAGGGACUCCUUUGGGUGGUGCACGUGUGAAAGACGGAUGGCAGAUGGAUUCUUAGGCAGCUGCUCGAUGGCAAAUGGAGGACAGAGCCCUCAAAUAUGUGGGCAGAAGGACACAGUGAAGCAAAACUCGAGCAGCGAGGCAUAGCUGUGGAACCCGGGGACAUGUCAGCAAGAAUAUCCACUACAGGAAAUCAGGGCCUCAUUUUGAAAUUCAAAAUAGCAGCUAACCUCACUGUCUCUGAAGCAAAUCUUUUUAAAGCAAAGCAUAUUAACUGCUUGUUUUGUAAUCAAAAAUAAUUUUCCACUCACCAGCAUAGCAGCUCUUGAAGGUUAAGUAUGAGAUUCCUUAAUUUCAAUGAUAAAACUUAAAUCAAAAUAUCUUAUAGCUGAACCUUUUAUUCUACCUGCAUAUUUAAAAAGACAUUUACGUUUCCAUGUAAAAUGCUCUUACUUGCGGUUGUUUAUUAAGUAUACAUCUGAUUCAGGGAUGUUAUUGCCUUAGAGACAAUUUGCAGAAAGAUUUGCAAAAAGCGUUCAGGCACACACUGUAUAGAAUAACUAGUU
This is a long non-coding RNA of Homo sapiens (human), 5703 nucleotides long. RefSeq lists it as uncharacterized. NCBI's taxonomy places the organism in Eukaryota, Metazoa, Chordata, Mammalia, Primates, Hominidae. The record is from RefSeq and is a predicted model, not a curated record. The transcript is spliced from 3 exons.